GGGGCCGGCUGCCCUGAGCUGGGUUUUGAUCUUUGGUUUCCUAGCUGUGUGAGUAUUUCUGAAUCAUAAAGCUGGAGAACCGAAUGUGGAAACCAGCUGCUCCUGCACAGCCUGGC
This 116-nucleotide microRNA precursor is filed under the name Notamacropus eugenii (tammar wallaby). RNAcentral describes it as "miRNA (ENSMEUG00000016833.1)". The stretch from base 29 to 87 matches the Rfam family "mir-9/mir-79 microRNA precursor family", at positions 1 to 62 of the family's 78-position model. Rfam says of the family: The mature ~21nt miRNAs are processed from hairpin precursor sequences represented here. miR-9 is processed from the 5' arm of its precursor, and miR-79 from the 3' arm. Lineage: Eukaryota; Metazoa; Chordata; Mammalia; Diprotodontia; Macropodidae. The record is from RNAcentral.